AUGGCACCCUCGUACUUCUACGACGACACUCCCUACGCGGAGUGGACUGCGGCGUUGGCCGCAGCUGAGGGCCAUGAUGAGGUGCCCGCUGCAUCCACCGACAGCCUCCAACUCGAGGCGUCCAUGGGCGCCAUCAGCGCGAGUCUGUCCGAGCUCGCCGCGCCUGCAGCACAAACUCUGUCCGCGACCACCGACAUUGCCGUCCUGGAGCUCAGCGUGAGUGACAAGGUGCUUGAAGUUGACACCAACACCGCCGCUCCGACGCCCACCACCUGUUCGACAGGGUGCCCAAGAUGCGACACGCCCGAGGAGUCGGCGCUCACUUCGUCCACGACACUACCUUCAUCCAUGAUCGUCGGCGACAUCGCUCCUGAGCUUGCUGCACAUGUAUGUGGCCUCUAUCAUAUUACUGAGACUGAGAGAGACGACCCAAUGGCGUCGUUCCUAGUUCCCUGGAGUGCACCUACAUCCUUCACAAUGCCACAUGAAGCCUCGCCAAUGCCUCUGCGUUGGUUGUUCCCUGUCUUUGAUAUGGAUAACUUUGCAGUUACUAAGUGUUCAACUGAUUGCUUCGACUACAACACCAGUGAGGCCAUAGCUUCAGUUAUUGAGCAAAAGAUAUCUUCCAAUUCAGUACUGCAAAUGCCUUUAAGUGGAUCUGCACCCAAUUUUAUUAUGGCGAUUUUUUCCGAGUGUGGCAGUUUGCUGAAGUGUGGAUGGAGAGGACAGUUUGGCUUGCAAGAUAUUCUUGUACAGAUUACCAUUCCCCAAGCUGAUGCAGUUUGCUAUUUUUGGGAAACAUCUAACCAUGGGGGACAAGAUAUUGGAGGGAGUGGACAUGUCAUUCACUGGUAA
Molecule: ribosomal RNA, 855 nt
Filed under: Triticum aestivum (bread wheat)
Lineage: Eukaryota; Viridiplantae; Streptophyta; Magnoliopsida; Poales; Poaceae
Description: partial small subunit ribosomal RNA
Source: RNAcentral